This 1830-nucleotide ribosomal RNA is filed under the name activated sludge metagenome. RNAcentral describes it as "bacterial LSU rRNA". It matches the Rfam family "Bacterial large subunit ribosomal RNA", at positions 1083 to 2925 of the family's 2925-position model. The record is from RNAcentral.
ACUUGGACAACUAGGAAGUUGGCUUAGAAGCAGCCAUCCUUUAAAGAAAGCGUAACAGCUCACUAGUCAAGUUAUCUUGCACUGAAAAUUUAACGGGGCUUAAAUCUAAUACCGAAGAUGAGGAUCGUUCGUGUCAAGUGAAAACGAGACACGAACGUUGGUAGGAGAGCAUUCUUUUGGCAGUGAAGUCAAAUCGUAAGAUUUGGUGGAGCUAAAAGAAGAGAGAAUGUUGGUAUAAGUAAUAAAAAUUCCGGCGAGAAACCGGAACACCGCAAAUCCAAGGUUUCCCGGGCACUGAUUAUCAGCCCUGGGUUAGGCGGUCCUAAGUCUAAAACCGAAAGGUCAAGAUGAUGGACAGACGGUUAAUAUUCCGUCCCUUCUUUACUCCUCGAUGGGGUGACGUUUCUUUUUACUUUGAGCAUGAUCUGGCUAUUCGUGUCUAAGAAAAAAGUGGGUCUCUUUGGCAAAUCCGAGAGAUAAAAACUUUUUUCCCACGGAAUCCCCGCAAGGGGAAACUCAAGGGUCGAAGGAACCAAGAAAAACCUCUAAGAAUAAGAGUAAAGAAACCGUACCGCAAACCAACACUGGUGGAUGAGGAGAGUAUCCUCAGGUGGACGAGAGAACCCUCGUUUAGGAACUCGGCAAAAAAGCGGUCGUAAGUUCGCAAUAAGACCUUCCCCUUCUUCGGAAGGGGACGCAGCGAAAGUUUGUCAAGCGACUGUUUAAUAAAAACACAGGUCCCUGCUUAAAACCGUAAGGUGAUGUAUAGGGGCUGAUGCCUGGCCAGUGUCAGAACGUUAAGAGGAGGGGUGACGCCGAUGCUUCGCAUCGGUGAAGCUCUGAAUCGAAGCGCUGAUGAACGCCGGCGGUAACUAUAACCGUCUUAUAGUAGCGAAAUCCCUCGCCGGGUAAGUUCCGGCCCGCACGAAUGGCAUAACGACUUGACAACUGUCUCAACGAGGGACUCGAUGAAAUUGCAAUGGGCGUGAAGACGCGCUCUAUCCACGGCUAGACGGAAAGACCCCGUGAAGCUUUACUACAACUUGAUAUUGGAUUAAGGUUGAAUCUGUUCAGCGUAGGUGGGAGUUCCCUUCUUUAUAAGAAAGGGACGCCAAUGAGACACCACCCUGAUUUAAUUUUGAUUCUUAUCCGGCUUGAAAACCGGAGACAGUGUCUGGUGGGUAGUUUGACUGGGGCGGUCGCCUUUAAAAGAGUAACAAAGGCGCUUAUAAGGUCAGCUUAGGUCGGAUGGAAAUCGACCCAGACGUGUAAAGGCACAAGCUGGCUUUACUGCAAGACCGACGAGUCGAGCAGUUGCGAAAGCAGAACUUAGUGAUCCGACGCUUGCAUAUAGAAGCGGCGAAGCUCAACGGAUAAAAGCUACUCCGGGGAUAACAGGCUAGUCAGGCCUGAGCGUUCCUAGCGACGGCCUGGAUCGGCACCUCGAUGUCGGCCCAGCACAUCCUGGGGGUGGAGAAGCUCCCAAGGGUUUGGCUGUUCGCCAAUUAAAGUGUUACGCGAGCUGGGUUUAGAACGUCGCAAGACAGUUCGGUCCCCUACCUGCCGUGGACGUUGGAAACUUGAGAGGACUCUUCGAUAGUACGAGAGGACCUCGAAGAACAAACCUCUAGUGUACCGGUUGUUCUGCCAAGAGCAUUGCCGGGUAGCUACGUUUGGCGCGGAUAAACGCUGAAAGCAUCUAAGCGUGAAGCCGUCCUCAAGAUGAAGUUUCCUUAUAGGCUCCUAGGAGAUUACUAGGUUGAUAGGCUCUAGGUGUAAGACUGGCAACAGUUUUAGCCAAGGAGUACUAAUAGCCAAAUUCUAAUCCAC